UCCCGGAACGAAAGCGGAAGAGGGGCCAGC
This 30-nucleotide non-coding RNA is filed under the name Homo sapiens (human). The record is from RNAcentral. Lineage: Eukaryota; Metazoa; Chordata; Mammalia; Primates; Hominidae.